CGGGAUUUCUAACAUCACAUGCUAUGACAUCCUCUUCAAAAAUAAAAAUACUUUAUAAAUGAUGCAUGCAAUAAUGCUUAACACACAUACAAUAACAUAGUUAAAAUUGCUUAGAAAUUAUACCAUUCUAAUUAACAUUAGACCCACUCCAAAUACUUAGAAAUUUUAGUUUCCAAGAAACAAAAAACUUCAAUAUCAUUGGAGCUAACAUACUUUUGUGCAGGCAGCCCCCCUUCUACAAAGACUGCCUAAAUCCCUGUAAUUCUAUGGUAGCAUCUGCUUAAGAUUAGAAUAAAACUCAUAACCUGGGCACCAGAGCAAGAACUCAGAGGGAGUCCAACCAUUCCUUCUAUAUAUUUCAUAUCAAUCUGCCUCCGAAUAUGUUCAGCAACCAAACCAUCAUUAGUAUCUCUAUGAAUCCCUAAAACCUUGCCAAGGUGAUGUGUAGCUGCCACCUCACGUUCAGAGCUAUAGACUUUUGUGGGUUCAGUAUCAGCUGCCAGUUUUUCCAACCUUCCAUUGACGUUGGCAAUAGUGGAGUCCAUAGAGUUGUCACUAACCUCCUUUUAUCUCUGUCAAACUGCCUCUGGCAAUAAGAAACCAAACCUUAUACUUUUUCCUCCUAGAAACAAUUCCUAAUGAUACCUGAGAACGAUCCUGUUUUCCACGCUUCUUUCUUCUCCCUCCUGCCAGAGAGUUGGUUUUUUUCCAAAUUGCCGUAGAUUUCAUUAGAAUUCAGAAAAUUUGUAGAAAAGGUGUCUCGCUCUUACUGCACACCUGACACUUUCUUUCGUGUGAUUAGGAUUAAACUUCCCUGCAUCUAACUUUAUCUAUAGCUCAGAUUAAGGUUUAGUGAAAUAGGACCCACGGAGCUGACAACAUGGUUUAAGAUUUGGCAAAACUCAAGAACUCAUGAGAGACUGAAAGAAGCUGCAAGAGAUAUUGAGCUGAGAUGGCUACCAUCAUAAUCUGUGAGUAAAUGAGUGACUAAAUCAAAACCCCAACCAUCCAAAAUCUUAAAAAACAAAUCAGUAGCUGCCUAAACUUUUCAUUUGCGAAAACUACAUUUUUCAGGAUAAAAAUCUCAUGUUUAUAUCAGAUAAUGCACUUUAUAUUCCAUCAUCUGGAGAAUGUUGAAAGGCAUGAUGAAGACCAGUACAUGAGGUCUCAUGGGUGUGGUUGUGUCAACAAGAGGUUCAACAAUGGAUAAACACCACUGGGGCAGGAUUUUACUAAUACAAUUAAUAAUGAUCAUGCUCCAUGUUCAAUCAAUCAAGGGUUAGAUUCAGGGUUUGAGCUGGUAAUUGGGAGCUUGAAUUCCAAACACCAAAUUCUGUUACCUCUUUCCAAAGGGGAGGAAGUGACAAACGAAUUCAUGUGCUGGAAGCAUUGUAGACAAAUGUAAGGGAUUUAAUCUUGCAGACAACUUGCAGGUAUUAAUUCAGGAGUUUAGAACAAAUCCAUUUUUGAUUUCUCGGGUGAUCUGGAAAAAUGAAACCAGCAACGCAUUCAGAGAGAGAAAAAUGCAUCUCUCAUGUGAAUUCAAGCAUCGAGCAAUGUGAGAAUUUAUGAGAAGCAGCACAAGGCUUGCAAGUGUACUUGCCUCCUUUUGGGAACUUAGCUAAGAUCCUCUGGCAUUUGUUUAUGAACCUCUUCCCUUCUCUCAUCCUCUUGUUUAUGAACAUAUACAAGGAAGAAUAGACAUAGCAUUACCUAUCUGGCAUUGAAAUAUAAGGUUUGAUCCUGCUAGGCUCCUUUUAAUAGA
This is a long non-coding RNA of Populus trichocarpa (black cottonwood), 1765 nucleotides long. RefSeq lists it as uncharacterized. The transcript has 2 exons. Lineage: Eukaryota; Viridiplantae; Streptophyta; Magnoliopsida; Malpighiales; Salicaceae. The record is from RefSeq and is a predicted model, not a curated record.